Heterocephalus glaber (naked mole-rat) is the source of this 1657-nucleotide long non-coding RNA. The record is from Ensembl. Lineage: Eukaryota; Metazoa; Chordata; Mammalia; Rodentia; Bathyergidae.
CUAACCUUUGUUUCUGGGAAGAGGACAUGGUUAUUUGGGGACUUGUUAACCACGGGUAACAAGGAGUUUAUUUCUCAAGUAUAAGCAUGUGAUGAUUUCGCAAUGUUAUUCAUCCGGGUUUUGUCCUGGGUUAUUGUUUUUGGCCUUCUAUCUGCCCCUAUGUGGGCAACAUAGCAAGACCCCAACUCAGAAAAAGGAGGUGUGGUGGAAGACCCACUUCAUAUGCUGGAAGCAGAAUACUGACAAUGUCUAGAGUAUCAGGGAUCGAACACGGGACCUUGUGCUUGCAAGGCAGGCAUGGCGCCACUGAGCUAAGUCAUCUUCUACCUUAGAAGUGGCCUAUAUUGGCACUCAGCACCCUCAGCACAAGGCUUCGGUGCUGAUGUCUCUGGCAGUAGGCAAGGCUGUCCUGUGUGAGAAGCCCAUGGGUAUGAACGCUCCAGAAGUUCGCAAGAUGGUCUCAGAGGCCCAAACCCAAGGUCUCUUCCUUAUGGAGGUGAGGGCCUCAACCAACAUUCACUGUAGCACUGCUUGCCAUUACUAAACAUGGCCACCAGCAGACGUUUUUGGAGAACCAAGGCAUCUUCCACAGUCGAGAUGGCCACAGGAAUGGAGCAGGGUCAGUUGGGGGUAUAGUUGAAUGUACUGGCCACACCCAUUGAGAGCACAAACCAAAGUUCAGUGCUUGCCACUCUAACAGGCCAUGACUCAAAGACAAGUUGUUGAGGCAAAGAGAAAGAGUUGUUUGGAAAGCUAGCAAACUAAAGAAGAUGGAAGCUGACAUCAACCAAGACCAUCUUGUUUAGAGGUUGCAGGGAAAAGGCUUAUCUAGGGAGUUUUGUGGAAGUAGAUCCCAGUAGGAGGGCACCAAGGUAUUUCCAAAUUCCAGAGUAGUUACAGAUUAUGGGGUCUGCUGUUUUGUGUAGGUAACUGGAUGCUCUGGGUUCUGUAAAUCUAAAGAAAGUUACUGACCCAUAAGCACAGCAUUUAGGGAGGCUGAGAUGGGGGAUCAAGUCCUGCCCAGGCAACACAACAAGACUCUGUCUUAAAUUUGUAAGAAGAGUAGGGUUGGGUGUAACUCCAUUGGAGAGAGCCCCUGGUCAAUCCCUACCACAAGGAAGAACAGAGAAAGGAAAGGAGAGAGGGAGGAAGAAAGAAAGGGAGGGAAAAAGAAAGGGAGAAAGGAGGAAAGAAAAAAGAAAUUGAGUAGGAAGUCUCACGGCUCGUCUUUUUAGUUCCUUUUCUGAGGACUAGCUAAUUCUCCAGUGUACCUGGAUAUCAAAGGUAUCCUUUCCAUGGGGAAGAGGGGAAGAUAGCAAAAGGCAACUUUUCUCUGGAAGACCAGGGAAGAUAAAGAAAAGCAAUUUUUCCCGAGGACGGAGGACGGAGGAGUCACAUUCCCUGGAGAAGUUUUUAACCCAUUGUGUAGAGUGUGUCACCACAGCAAAGCUAAAACUAAUAGUGUAUCUUCCAGCUGUGUGACUCCUAAAAUCAGUGAUGGUUUGUUUGUUUUUUGAGACAAAAUCUCACUAUACGGUUUAGGCUGGUCUUGAACUCAUAGUGAUCCACCUGCCUCAGUGCCAUGCCCAGUAAAAUUAGUGAUUGGGGGGUGGGUGUUUUUUGGGGAGGUUUUUUGGUACCAGGUACUGAACUCGGG